UAAUACGAAGGGUGCAAGCGUUGUUCGGAAUUACUGGGCGUAAAGGGCAUGUAGGCGGAUAUAUUAGUCAGGAGUGAAAUCCCGGGGCUCAACCUCGGAACUGCUUCUGAAACGGUAUAUCUAGAGUGUGAUAGGGGACAAUGGAAUACCCAGUGUAGAGGUGAAAUUCGUAGAUAUUGGGUAGAACACCAGAGGCGAAGGCGAUUGUCUGGGUCACAACUGACGCUAAGGUGCGAAAGCGUGGGGAUCAAACAGG
RNAcentral lists this ribosomal RNA (256 nucleotides) under uncultured bacterium. RNAcentral's name for it is "partial 16S ribosomal RNA". It matches the Rfam family "Bacterial small subunit ribosomal RNA", at positions 521 to 776 of the family's 1533-position model. The record is from RNAcentral.